CCUACGGGCGACAGCAGUGAGGAAUAUUGGUCAAUGGGCGCGAGCCUGAACCAGCCAAGUCGCGUGAGGGAAGACGGUCCUAUGGAUUGUAAACUUCUUUUGUCGGGGAGCAAAAGACGCCACGCGUGGCGUUCCGAGAGUACCCGAAGAAAAAGCAUCGGCUAACUUCGUUCCAGCAGCCGCGGUACUACGUGGGAUGCGAGCGUUGUCCGGAUUUAUUGGGUUUAAAGGGUGCGCAGGCGGAAGAUCAAGUCAGCGGUAAAAGUGAGGGGCUCAACCGCUUCGAGCCGUUGAAACUGGUUGUCUUGAGUGAGUGAGAGGUGUGCGGAAUGCGUGGUGUAGCGGUGAAAUGCAUAGAUA
RNAcentral lists this ribosomal RNA (360 nucleotides) under uncultured bacterium. RNAcentral's name for it is "partial 16S ribosomal RNA". It matches the Rfam family "Bacterial small subunit ribosomal RNA", at positions 338 to 696 of the family's 1533-position model. The record is from RNAcentral.